RNAcentral lists this ribosomal RNA (422 nucleotides) under uncultured bacterium. RNAcentral describes it as "bacterial SSU rRNA". It matches the Rfam family "Bacterial small subunit ribosomal RNA", at positions 355 to 774 of the family's 1533-position model. RNAcentral also lists the same sequence under 1 other name. The record is from RNAcentral.
UGAGGAAUAUUGGUCAAUGGGCGAGAGCCUGAACCAGCCAAGUCGCGUGAAGGAUGACUGCCCUAUGGGUUGUAAACUUCUUUUUUAGGGGAAUAAAGUGAGUCACGUGUGACUUUUUGUAUGUACCCUACGAAUAAGCAUCGGCUAACUCCGUGCCAGCAGCCGCGGUAAUACGGAGGAUGCGAGCGUUAUCCGGAUUUAUUGGGUUUAAAGGGUGCGUAGGCCGACUUUUAAGUCAGCGGUGAAAUUUUCCGGCUUAACCGGGACCUUGCCGUUGAAACUGAUAGUCUUGAGUGUAAAUGAGGUAGGCGGAAUGUGUGGUGUAGCGGUGAAAUGCUUAGAUAUCACACAGAACUCCGAUUGCGAAGGCAGCUUACUGGCAUACAACUGACGCUGAGGCACGAAAGUGUGGGUAUCAAACA